AGAGUUUGAUCAUGGCUCAGAACGAACGCUGGCGGCAGGCUUAACACAUGCAAGUCGAACGCGUGUAGCAAUACACGAGUGGCGCACGGGUGAGUAACGCGUGGAUAUCUGCCUUUGGUUCGGAAUAACCCGGGAAACUGGGGCUAAUACCGGAUGGUUCCUUCGGGAUAAAGAUUUAUCGCCAAAAGAUGAGUCCGCGUACGAUUAGCUAGUUGGUGAGGGUAAUGGGCCCACCAAGGCGACGAUCGUUAGCUGGUCUGAGAGGACGAUCAGCCACACUGGGACUGAGACACGGCCCAGACUCCUACGGGAGGCAGCAGUGGGGAAUAUUGGACAAUGGGGGCAACCCUGAUCCAGCCAUGCCGCGUGAGUGAUGAAGGCCUUCGGGUUGUAAAGCUCUUUUGGCGGGGACGAUGAUGACGGUACCCGCAGAAUAAGCCCCGGCUAACUUCGUG
This 455-nucleotide ribosomal RNA is filed under the name uncultured bacterium. RNAcentral describes it as "bacterial SSU rRNA". It matches the Rfam family "Bacterial small subunit ribosomal RNA", at positions 8 to 507 of the family's 1533-position model. The record is from RNAcentral.